UUUUAUUAUCAAAGACACUGAAAGUUUCUAAGAAAGAGAUGGAAAAGAAAGACGGUGAAGGGGAAAGGGUUCUUCAAACUCUUGUUCUUCAAAGUUCUACAAUCAAUUGAAUUGGUAGAGAUCGAGAGGCAUAGCAGUCCAUUGACUUGUCCGCUUCCUUCCUCAACAAAGCAAUCACACUUUCCUUGUUCAAGCUGCUUCGACUUGGCUUCAAUUUCUGAUUCCAUCCGUUCAAAUGAUUCAAUUUCUAAUCUGUUCUAUUUGCGUAGGCCCUUUCGAGGUUCUUCAAAGUCACACGCUGGUUUUGGAUCUGAAAGAUUACCACCAUUUCUAAGAUUUGUUCGCAUUUCGCAUUUGAGCUUAGAAACAGGAGAGGUCAGCCUGUGGUUGAGUUCUUCUUUGCUGCCACUGAAGAGGCAAUCUUUGUCCACGUUAUAAUAUCUGCAAAGUUCGUGAAAUUUUCCUAUCUUUUAUUGGUCAUAAUGGCAUAGCAUUUAUUUGUAUUUGAGGUUGAUAAAUGUUUAUGCUAUAAGUGGUGAAUUAAUUUGCAUUAGUUCCAUUUGUGUUUAGGCUUACCCAGGCACUUUCAAGUGGUGACAUGGAGAAAAUAUUGAAUCAUUAUUCUAAUUAAUUUGGUGACAUUCUUCCAGGUUGGUUUCUGUGUGUCCUAGUUAGUGUUGUCAUGUGAAUUGUUGAACACAUAGUUUUUGGUCGAUAGAAUGUUUUUAUGACUCUGUCGACUAAUUUUUCUGACUAUUUUUUUUUAUUUAGUUUUUGUGUCAUGGCAUAAAAUAAAUACUAAUUAAACAAGAAGUUUCGAUACCCAAAUUAGGAAGGAAGAUUUUUUUUUUGUUUUUUUUUGGUUGUUGAUUUGGAAUUAGAGAAGGUCGUAUCCUGGCCAUGAAGAUGGGCUGCUUCACUAUGAUCUUGCUUGGUCAUAAAAAAGACCACUACCCGUCAACCCCAAUGUUAAUCCUAUCAGUAUGCGGUGCUGGGAUUCAUGUACUUGAAAAGCAUGCCUAAUCGUCACACAAGCACAUAUACGAGACUAGCUGCUCUCAUACUUGGACCAUAUCAUGCACUAAUCUAUUUGAGCUAAUUCUGUAGCAAUGGAAGGGAUUGUUGAAUAAUGCAAUCACUUGGGCCAUACCAUUCUAUGAUAUAAAAUGUCAUGUCGUUGAGGAAUUUGGUAGUCUAUAAAUGAGGACUUGUAUAAUAAGGAUGUUAAGAUAGUUUAGUGGCUAUGC
This is a non-coding RNA of Camellia sinensis, 1247 nucleotides long. Lineage: Eukaryota; Viridiplantae; Streptophyta; Magnoliopsida; Ericales; Theaceae. The record is from RefSeq and is a predicted model, not a curated record.